Molecule: ribosomal RNA, 1786 nt
Filed under: Campylobacter jejuni
Lineage: Bacteria; Pseudomonadati; Campylobacterota; Epsilonproteobacteria; Campylobacterales; Campylobacteraceae
Description: partial 23S ribosomal RNA
Rfam family: Bacterial large subunit ribosomal RNA
Source: RNAcentral
AAUGAGCCUGCGAGUUGUGGUGUCUGGCAAGGUUAAGCAAACGCGAAGCCGUAGCGAAAGCGAGUCUGAAUAGGGCGCUUAGUCAGAUGCUGCAGACCCGAAACGAAGUGAUCUAUCCAUGAGCAAGUUGAAGCUAGUGUAAGAACUAGUGGAGGACUGAACCCAUAGGCGUUGAAAAGCCCCGGGAUGACUUGUGGAUAGGGGUGAAAGGCCAAUCAAACUUCGUGAUAGCUGGUUCUCUCCGAAAUAUAUUUAGGUAUAGCGUUGUGUCGUAAUAUAAGGGGGUAGAGCACUGAAUGGGCUAGGGCAUACACCAAUGUACCAAACCCUAUCAAACUCCGAAUACCUUAUAUGUAAUCACAGCAGUCAGGCGGCGAGUGAUAAAAUCCGUCGUCAAGAGGGAAACAACCCAGACUACCAGCUAAGGUCCCUAAAUCUUACUUAAGUGGAAAACGAUGUGAAGUUACUUAAACAACCAGGAGGUUGGCUUAGAAGCAGCCAUCCUUUAAAGAAAGCGUAAUAGCUCACUGGUCUAGUGAUUUUGCGCGGAAAAUAUAACGGGGCUAAAGUAAGUACCGAAGCUGUAGACUUGCGCACAACUUAGAUUAUUUAAGUUUAGAAUAUGAGAAACUAAGUUAUGUUUAGUUAUAUUUUUACUGAUUUUUAUAGAGUAAAGAUAGAAAUAAAACUUAGUAAAAUCAGUAAAAAUAUUCUUAGGCUAAAGUUAAGUAGUUUAAGUUGUGUGCAAGUGGUAGGAGAGCGUUCUAUUUGCGUCGAAGGUAUACCGGUAAGGAGUGCUGGAGCGAAUAGAAGUGAGCAUGCAGGCAUGAGUAGCGAUAAUUAAUGUGAGAAUCAUUAACGCCGUAAACCCAAGGUUUCCUACGCGAUGCUCGUCAUCGUAGGGUUAGUCGGGUCCUAAGUCGAGUCCGAAAGGGGUAGACGAUGGCAAAUUGGUUAAUAUUCCAAUACCAACAUUAGUGUGCGAUGGAAGGACGCUUAGGGCUAAGGGGGCUAGCGGAUGGAAGUGCUAGUCUAAGGUCGUAGGAGGUUAUACAGGCAAAUCCGUAUAACAAUACUCCGAGAACUGAAAGGCUUUUUGAAGUCUUCGGAUGGAUAGAAGAACCCCUGAUGCCGUCGAGCCAAGAAAAGUUUCUAAGUUUAGCUAAUGUUGCCCGUACCGUAAACCGACACAGGUGGGUGGGAUGAGUAUUCUAAGGCGCGUGGAAGAACUCUCUUUAAGGAACUCUGCAAAAUAGCACCGUAUCUUCGGUAUAAGGUGUGGUUAGCUUUGUAUUAGGAUUUACUCCGAAAGCAAGGAAACUUACAACAAAGAGUCCCUCCCGACUGUUUACCAAAAACACAGCACUCUGCUAACUCGUAAGAGGAUGUAUAGGGUGUGACGCCUGCCCGGUGCUCGAAGGUUAAUUGAUGGGGUUAGCAUUAGCGAAGCUCUUGAUCGAAGCCCGAGUAAACGGCGGCCGUAACUAUAACGGUCCUAAGGUAGCGAAAUUCCUUGUCGGUUAAAUACCGACCUGCAUGAAUGGCGUAACGAGAUGGGAGCUGUCUCAAAGAGGGAUCCAGUGAAAUUGUAGUGGAGGUGAAAAUUCCUCCUACCCGCGGCAAGACGGAAAGACCCCGUGGACCUUUACUACAGCUUGACACUGCUACUUGGAUAAGAAUGUGCAGGAUAGGUGGGAGGCUUUGAGUAUAUGACGCCAGUUGUAUAUGAGCCAUUGUUGAGAUACCACUCUUUCUUAUUUGGGUAGCUAACCAGCUUGAGUUAUCC